GAGUUUGAUCCUGGCUCAGGAUGAACGCUGGCGGCGUGCUUAACACAUGCAAGUCGAGCGAUGAAGUCUCCUUCGGGAAACGGAUUAGCGGCGGACGGGUGAGUAACACGUGGGUAACCUGCCUCAUAGAGUGGAAUAGCCUUCCGAAAGGAAGAUUAAUACCGCAUAACGUUGAAAGAUGGCAUCAUCAUUCAACCAAAGGAGCAAUCCGCUAUGAGAUGGACCCGCGGCGCAUUAGCUAGUUGGUGGGGUAACGGCCUACCAAGGCGACGAUGCGUAGCCGACCUGAGAGGGUGAUCGGCCACAUUGGGACUGAGACACGGCCCAGACUCCUACGGGAGGCAGCAGUGGGGAAUAUUGCACAAUGGGGGAAACCCUGAUGCAGCAACGCCGCGUGAGUGAUGAAGGUUUUCGGAUCGUAAAGCUCUGUCUUUGGGGAAGAUAAUGACGGUACCCAAGGAGGAAGCCACGGCUAACUACGUGCCAGCAGCCGCGGUAAUACGUAGGUGGCGAGCGUUAUCCGGAUUUACUGGGCGUAAAGGGAGCGUAGGCGGAUGAUUAAGUGGGAUGUGAAAUACCCGGGCUUAACUUGGGUGCUGCAUUCCAAACUGGUUAUCUAGAGUGCAGGAGAGGAGAGUGGAAUUCCUAGUGUAGCGGUGAAAUGCGUAGAGAUUAGGAAGAACACCAGUGGCGAAGGCGACUCUCUGGACUGUAACUGACGCUGAGGCUCGAAAGCGUGGGGAGCAAACAGGAUUAGAUACCCUGGUGGUCCACGCCGUAAACGAUGAAUACUAGGUGUGGGGGUUUCAACACCUCCGUGCCGCCGCUAACGCAUUAAGUAUUCCGCCUGGGGAGUACGGUCGCAAGAUUAAAACUCAAAGGAAUUGACGGGGACCCGCACAAGUAGCGGAGCAUGUGGUUUAAUUCGAAGCAACGCGAAGAACCUUACCUACACUUGACAUCCCUUGCAUUACUCUUAAUCGAGGAAAUCCCUUCGGGGACAAGGUGACAGGUGGUGCAUGGUUGUCGUCAGCUCGUGUCGUGAGAUGUUGGGUUAAGUCCCGCAACGAGCGCAACCCUUGUCGUUAGUUACUACCAUUAAGUUGAGGACUCUAGCGAGACUGCCUGGGUUAACCAGGAGGAAGGUGGGGAUGACGUCAAAUCAUCAUGCCCCUUAUGUGUAGGGCUACACACGUGCUACAAUGGCUGGUACAGAGAGAUGCAAUACCGCGAGGUGGAGCCAAACUUAAAAACCAGUCUCAGUUCGGAUUGUAGGCUGAAACUCGCCUACAUGAAGCUGGAGUUACUAGUAAUCGCGAAUCAGAAUGUCGCGGUGAAUACGUUCCCGGGUCUUGUACACACCGCCCGUCACACCAUGAGAGUUGGCAAUACCCGAAGUCCGUGAGCUAACCGCAAGGAGGCAGCGGCCGAAGGUAGGGUCAGCGAUUGGGGUGAAGUCGUAACAAGGUAGCCG
This 1474-nucleotide ribosomal RNA is filed under the name uncultured bacterium. RNAcentral's name for it is "16S ribosomal RNA". It matches the Rfam family "Bacterial small subunit ribosomal RNA". The record is from RNAcentral.